Molecule: non-coding RNA, 209 nt
Organism: Oryza meridionalis
Lineage: Eukaryota; Viridiplantae; Streptophyta; Magnoliopsida; Poales; Poaceae
Source: Rfam
AAUAAGUGCAGUUUUACACUGUUUAUGUUUAACGUUUGACCGUUCGUUUUAUUUAAAAUAAUUUUAUGAUUAGUAUUUUUAUUGCUAUUAGAAGAUAAAACAUGAAUAGUACUUUAUGUGUGACUAAUCUUUUUUUAUUUUUUUCACAAAAUUUUCAAAUAAGAUGAACGGUCAAACGUUGGACACGGAUAUUCAAGGCUGCACUUAUU